RNAcentral lists this ribosomal RNA (3062 nucleotides) under Kudoa lateolabracis. RNAcentral describes it as "partial 28S ribosomal RNA". It matches the Rfam family "Eukaryotic large subunit ribosomal RNA", at positions 34 to 2614 of the family's 3401-position model. The record is from RNAcentral. Lineage: Eukaryota; Metazoa; Cnidaria; Myxozoa; Multivalvulida; Kudoidae.
UUAAGCAUAUCAGUAAGCAGAGGAAAAGAAAACAACUGUGAUUCCCUUAGUAACUGCGAGUGAAGCGGGAUAAGCCCAUCGUUUAAUCUUCUCGGACUAUGGACGAGACGAAAUGUAACGGUAUGGAUAGGUUCUCUAUCGACAGUGUCUGGUCAAAGUCCUCCGGAUUGAGGUGCCAAAGAGGGUGACAGCCCCGUGUGUGACUGGAUAGUGAGUGGUGUCGAGUAUGUGACCGAUUCCGAGAGUCGGGUUGUUUGGGACUGCAACCUAAAGCAGGUGGUAAACUCCACCCAAGGCUAAAUAUUGACACGAAACCGAUAGCGAACAAGUACUGUGAAGGAAAGUUGAAAAGAACUCUGAAAAGAGAGUUAAAAGUACGUGAAACCGCUAACGGGGAAGCGGAAGGCAGUGUCGAGAUUGAGUGAGUGAGUUGUGUCAACGCUCUAUUUUUAUAUUUAUCAACUGCACAACAUGAACAUGGUGUGGGUUGGUAAAGAUCAAGAUGGGAGUUGGUGCAACUAGCUUUGCUUGAUGCGUCAGGACUAUUGGUGUGCGAUGGUUCAAUUGUCGGCAUGGCUUCCACGACACCCAAGUAUUCGUAUUUGGGCUCGUGGCUGCGGCAGGCAAUCCACCUCGUGUGCUGAUAUGUUUGUGGAGAGAGGCGUUGGUGAUGUUAUUGUCGGUUGGUGUUGUGUGGUGCUCCGCAUAGUCACAAUGUGGCAAUGUUUAAUGGAGAAGUCAUGUGAUAGUUCAACAACCAGUGCCAGUUCCUGACGUGAUACCUAACCUUCCGACCCGUCUUGAAACACGGACCAAGGAGGCAGAAUCUAGAGCGAGUUGGAGGGUGAAAAACCCGACGGCGUAGUGAAAGCGAGAGAUAAGAUCUUUCUAUUAUUAUAUGUAACGAAGGAGCAUUAUCGGCCAGUCAUCUUGUUUUGUUGGGGUGAUUGAGUUUGAGCUCUAGAUGCUGGACCCGAAAGAUGGUGAACUAUGCGUGAGCAGGGCGAAGCCAGAGGAAACUCUGGUGGAGGCUCGAAGCGAUUCUGACGUGCAAAUCGAUCGUUUGACUUGCGUAUAGGGGCGAUAGACUAAUCGAACCAUCUAGUAGCUGGUUCCCUUCGAAAUAUCCCUCAGGAUCGCUGAGACAAGUGGGAGACAGUUUCAUCGGGUAGAGCGAAUGAUUAGAGGAAUCGGGGAUAUAUUACUCUCGACCUAUUCUCAAACUUCCAACCGGUGAGAGUGUUGUUUACUUUGGGGUUGUUGUUGAUCUUCUAAUCAAUGAUGCAAUGAUGACGUUGAUGAUGAAAUGACACGUGGAAUGUUUUUGUCUCAAGUGGGCCAUUUUUGGUAAGCAGAACUGGCGAUGCGGGAUGAACCGAGAGUUGAGCUAAGGUGCCUAAGGACACGUUGAUAGAUACCACAAAAGGAGUCGGUCGAUAAAGACAGCAGGGCGGUGGCCCUGAAAGUAGGAAUCCGCUAAGGAAUUGUCUAAAAACUCACCUGCCGAAUCGACCGGCCCUGAAAAUGGAUGGCGCUGAAGCGUGUCACCGAUGCUCGACCUCCACCACGAGAGAUGCUGGUGGAGGGUAGAAGGGCGCGGCGGUAGCAAUAAAGUACAAAGUGUAAACUUGUAUGGAGCUGCCGUCGGUGUAGAUCUUGGUGGUAGUAGCAAUUAUAAAAGUGAAAACCUUUUAGGCCGAAGUGGAGAAGGGUUCCACGUGAACAGCAGUUGGACGUGGGUUAGUCGGUCCUAAGCGGUUGCCUAACGGUAUAAAAAGCCAACUUUUAUGCUGUUUGUUAUAAAUGGUUGGAGUCCGCGAAAGGGAAUCAGGUUAAUAUUCCUGAACCGGGCUAUGGAGACGUUGUUUGUCAUUGCGCGCGUAGAUGGUGUUGUUAAAUGUUGAUGGCGCCAGAUGUGUGUGUGAGUAGACGAGCAACUUAGCGGUAACGCAAACAAUCUCGGAGACGUUGACAUCUAUGGCGGAGAGAAUUAUCUUUUCUGUAUAACAGGUAACCUACCUUGGAAUCGAGUCAUUCGGAGAUAAGGUAAAAAGCCUGGAAGAGCACCGCAACUAUUGCAGUGUCCGCAUUGUAGGUGUCGGCCCUUGAAAAUCCGAGGGAGUGGAUAAAUUUCAUGCCCGUCCGUACCGAAUCCGCAUCAGGUCUCCUAGGUGAGCAGCCUCUGGCACUGGAACAAUGUAGGUAAGGGAAGUCGGCAAAAUAGAUCCGUAACUUCGGGAAAAGGAUUGGCUCUAAGGGCCGGGCCAAUGGAGCUGGUAUUGCCUAGGUUAGUGGGCGUCCGAUUGGGUGUUUUUAAUAAUCUCACUACUCUAAUGGUGUGUGUUGUUUGAAAUGCUUGAUCGGCUGAACGCUGGCCAUGGAAUGCCGGCGUGAGUUGAUAAAAUUUGUGGUGGCGUCUCUCACAUUAUCAAUGAAUGUUGAUAGUGUGGGCGGUGUUGUUGCCAAUUGUCAUUGUCAACUCUUUACGAUUGGCAAGCAUCGGCCAGCUUAGAACUGUUACCAACUUGGGGAAUCCGACUGUUUAAUUAAAACAAAGCAUUGCGAUGGCCGGAAACGGUGUUGACGCAAUGUGAUUUCUGCCCAGUGCUCUGAAUGUUAAAGUGCGGAAACGCAACCAAGCACGGGUAAACGGCGGGAGUAACUAUGACUCUUUAAAGGUAGCCAAAUGCCUCGUCAUCUAAUUAGUGACGCGCAUGAAUGGAUCAACGAGAUUCCCACUGUCCCUACCUACCAUCCAGCGAAACCACAGUCAAGGGAACGGGCUUGACUGAGACAGCGGGGAAAGAAGACCCUGUUGAGCUUGACUCUAGUUUGAUUUUGUGAGAAGACAUCAGGGGUGUAGAAUAGGUGGGAGAGUGCAUGCCUUUGGGUGUGUGUUCGCAAGUGAAAUACCACUACCUUGAUCGUUUUCACACUAAGUCGGUUGCACGGGAAAUACUUGCUCUUAUGUGAUAUGUGAGGGCAGGUGGAUUCGUUGCUAUAAGGCAGACAUUAUCGAUAGUUGUGAUCUGUUGACCCAUCGCCGAUGACAGAAUCAGAUG